This 574-nucleotide unclassified non-coding RNA is filed under the name Hevea brasiliensis (rubber tree). The record is from RNAcentral. Lineage: Eukaryota; Viridiplantae; Streptophyta; Magnoliopsida; Malpighiales; Euphorbiaceae.
AAAAAAAAUUUACACACAGUUUAAGUAAAACAUGACUAUAAUAGACUUCAACUGGCUAGUUGGCAACCUAAACUCUGUCCUAUUAUUACGACAGGUGAGAAUUGAGGAUCUGAGUAAAUUUUCGCAGUCAUCAACAAACUUAUUUUCUGAACUGUGGUUUAUGAAGCUUUAGUAUUGAAUUCAGCUUAACUUCUCAAAACUGGAGUUAGAUCUCGCUGAGUACUCUGCCACUAGUUGUGCAAAUGACGAUGAAUUGCUUUCUAAUAACCUUGUUGGAGUGUCAUAUUCCUCGAUAAGCCCUUGACUCAGAAGCAGAACCAUGUCGCUAUCAAGAACAGACGUUAUUCGAUGUGCUAUGGUUAUGACGGUACAGUCAGAGAAGUGUUGCCUAAUGGUUUGCUGAAUCAAAUUAUCAGUAGCAGUAUCAACUGAGGCAGUAGCUUCAUCCAGCACCAAAACCUUACUUUUCUUCAGUAAUACACGCCCAAGACACACCAGCUGCCUCUGACCCAUACUCCAGUUCUCCCCAUUCUCUGUAACUGCAGAGUCUAGCUUUUUCUCCUUCUUCCUAACU